This 209-nucleotide long non-coding RNA is filed under the name Elaeis guineensis (African oil palm). RNAcentral describes it as "long non-coding RNA (EGUI_LNC001636)". The record is from RNAcentral. Lineage: Eukaryota; Viridiplantae; Streptophyta; Magnoliopsida; Arecales; Arecaceae.
ACCCCUUCAAUCUUUACUUUCCUCUAUGGAUUCAAUUUUCCAUUUCAAUUCCGAUUUCGAUUUUGAUUUCGAUCACGAUCACGAACUACACACUUCGGAAGAUUUAACCAUUCCGAUUUCAAUUCUGAUUCCAAACCAUUCCGAUUCUUAUUCCUAUUUUGAUUCCAAUUGCAAACCAAACACCGCCUUUGUUCUUCCAACACUCUUGG